GUUUGUGAACAGCUGGUCAGGGAGUCGGUAGCGUUACUCCCCUUCUCUCCUCCACCCCGACCUCUCCUCCUCAAAUGAGCGAGUGUGGGAGUGGGUGACACCUUAUCUCAGACCUGGAGAGAUACUGGUCUCCGAGAGUGCUGAGCCGCAGGGGGCGCGGGGGAACCCGGGGGGCGCCGACGGCUCGGCAAAGUUGGGCGUGUGCUUCUGCGCGCCAGCAGCGAGCUAGCAGGCAUCCACUGUGGUUCCCCUCGCACUCUCCCUCCAGAGAAUUCCCCGAGAAGGCGGGCGCCGGCUUCGGGCCCGGGAUAGACCUGCGGCGGCGGCGGGAACGGCCACGCACAGUAUAUCACAGCUGGCAUCCCAAAUUGAUGAGAAUGCUGUACAGGGUCAGCCUUAUAUGUACCAUCCAAUCUCCUGACUGGAACGUCAAAGUCUGGCUGCUGGCAUUCUGGAGUUGAUGGUGGGGAGAUUAGUGAUCUCAGCAUUCAG
Non-coding RNA from Vicugna pacos (alpaca), 492 nucleotides. The record is from RefSeq and is a predicted model, not a curated record. NCBI's taxonomy places the organism in Eukaryota, Metazoa, Chordata, Mammalia, Artiodactyla, Camelidae.